UCUCCACAUAGGUGUCCACUCUGAGGUCCACCUGAAGCAGUCUGGACCUAAGGUCAGUGAAGAUAUCCUGCAAGGCUUCUGGUUACUCAUUCACUGGCUACUACAUGCACUGGGUGAAGUCCUGUAAAAAGCCUUCAAAGGAUUGGAUAUAUUAUUCCUUACAGUGGUGGUACUGGGUACAAUGAAAAGUUCAAGGGCAAGGCCACAUUGUCUGCAGACAAAUUCUUCAGCACAACCUAUAUGUACUUCAGCAGCCUGACAUCUGAGGACUCUGUGGACUCUUACUGUGCAAGA
Molecule: non-coding RNA, 294 nt
Organism: Mus musculus (house mouse)
Lineage: Eukaryota; Metazoa; Chordata; Mammalia; Rodentia; Muridae
Source: the annotation of a RefSeq genome assembly